Molecule: ribosomal RNA, 1638 nt
Filed under: human gut metagenome
Description: bacterial LSU rRNA
Rfam family: Bacterial large subunit ribosomal RNA
Source: RNAcentral
GUGAUGCGAGGUUAAGUGUUAAAGACACGGAGCCGAAGCGAAAGCGAAUCUGAAAAGGGUGCAAAGUAUCAUGUCGUAGACCCGAAACCGAAUGACCUAACCAUGAGCAGGUUGAAGCAAUGGUAAAACGUUGUGGAGGACCGAACACACGCCUGUUGAAAUAGUCGGUGAUGACUUGUGGUUAGCGGAGAAAUUCCAAACGAAUUCGGAUAUAGCUGGUUCUCCUCGAAAUAGCUUUAGGGCUAGCCUCGUAUAUAAUCCUUGUGGGUAGAGCACUAAAUGGCCUAGGGGGCUUCACAGCCUACCGAAGCUUAUUAAACUCCGAAUCGCAAGGAAUUGAGUACGGGAGUCAGACAGCGACAGCUAAGUGCCGUUGUCAAAAGGGAAACAGCCCAGAUCUACAGCUAAGGUCCCCAAGUGCAGGUUAAGUGGAAAAGGAUGUGACAAUGCAUAGACAACCAGGAUGUUGGCUCAGAAGCAGCCACGCAUUAAAAGAGUGCGUAAUAGCUCACUGGUCGAGUGAUGUUGCGCCGAAAAUUAACGGGGCUCAAACCUGACACCGAAGCUUAGGAAUACGCGAUGCGUAUUGGUAGAGGAGCAAUGUAUACGCGCAGAAGCCGUACCGGAAGGAGCGGUGGAGUGUAUAGAAGAGAGAAUGCCGGCAUAAGUAGCGAGAGCGGAGCGAGAAACUCCGCCGUCGAAAGUCUGAGGUUUUCCGGGGAAGGUUCGUCCGCCCGGAGUAAGUCGGGACCUAAGCGGAGGCCGAAAGGCGUACGUGAUGGACAACAGGUUGAUAUUCCUGUACUACCGAGAAAGAUAAUGAUGCAGUGACACGGAAAGAUAGAAGAAGCGCGCAGAUGGAAAAGCGCGUCCAAGCAAUGAGGGCGGCUGGUAGUAAAGAACGCCAGUCAAAAAGCCUGAGUUGUGACGGGGAGUGGACCAAGGAAACGAAGUCUUCGAAUCUACGCCGGCGAGAAAAGCUGCUAAAUAUUUCGAGGUACCCGUACCGCAAACCGACACAGGUAGACGAGAAGAAAAUUCUAAGACGAACGGGAGAACCCUUGUUAAGGAACUCGGCAAAAUGACCCCGUAACUUCGGGAGAAGGGGAGCCACUGAAAGGUGGCCGCAGUAAAGAGGCCCAAGCGACUGUUUAUCAAAAACACAGGUUUCUGCUAAGGCGAAAGCCAAGGUAUAGGAGCUGACUCCUGCCCAGUGCCGGAAGGUCAAGGGGAUUCGUUAGCGCAAGCGAAGCGAUGAACUUAAGCCCCGGUGAACGGCGGCCGUAACUAUAACGGUCCUAAGGUAGCGAAAUUCCUUGUCGGGUAAGUUCCGACCCGCACGAAUGGAGUAACGAUUUGGGCACUGUCUCAACAGGGGGCCCGGCGAAAUUGUAGUAUACGUGAAGAUGCGUAUUAACCCGCGACUGGACGGAAAGACCCCGUAGAGCUUUACUGUAACUUGAUAUUGAAUCUCGGCAAUUGAUGCACAGAAUAGGUGGGAGACUGAGAAGCGGGUGUUUCGGCAUCCGUGGAGUCAACUUUGGGAUACCACUCUUCGAUUGCUGCGAUUCUAACCGAAACCCGUGAAACCGGGAACGGGACAGUGUCAGGUGGGCAGUUUGACUGGGGCGGUCGCCU